This 206-nucleotide long non-coding RNA is filed under the name Elaeis guineensis (African oil palm). Its description in RNAcentral is "long non-coding RNA (EGUI_LNC008696)". The record is from RNAcentral. Lineage: Eukaryota; Viridiplantae; Streptophyta; Magnoliopsida; Arecales; Arecaceae.
CGGCGAAGACCUCUUUCUUUUCUCAUGUGCAGCAGAACGUGGAGUUGGUGAGUUGGCACACUAAGAGUUGAAUUUAAAAUCUAUAUAAUCUCCGGUAGGAUUCAAUUGCAAGAGAGAGAAAACUGAUGGCCGAAAAGGAGAAGGCUCCAAAGUAGCAACUGGAGGUAGAGAACAGUAAGUUGCCCGAUGAGUAGAAGCCCAAGCAG